Molecule: long non-coding RNA, 183 nt
Organism: Priapulus caudatus
Lineage: Eukaryota; Metazoa; Priapulida; Priapulimorpha; Priapulimorphida; Priapulidae
Exons: 3
Source: RefSeq, a predicted model, not a curated record
GUCCGCACCAUUUAUAGUUUUCGUUGAUAUGUCCUUUAAAUAAGGGUUGCACGCGACGCGUGGUCGGCAUGCUCUAGGACGUUUACGUAGUUCGCUUAGCACUAUCGGCAGCAAAGAAAAUCUACACACGGCUGCUCCCCCUGACGCCGUAUAUAUAUAAGAUAUAUAUAUAAAUAUAUAUAU